AGUGAACGCUGGCGGUAGGCCUAACACAUGCAAGUCGAACGGCAGCACAGUAAGAGCUUGCUCUUACGGGUGGCGAGUGGCGGACGGGUGAGGAAUACAUCGGAAUCUACUUUUUCGUGGGGGAUAAUGUAGGGAAACUUACGCUAAUACCGCAUACGACCUACGGGUGAAAGCAGGGGAUCUUCGGACCUUGCGCGGUUGAAUGAGCCGAUGUCGGAUUAGCUAGUUGGCGGGGUAAAGGCCCACCAAGGCGACGAUCCGUAGCUGGUCUGAGAGGAUGAUCAGCCACACUGGAACUGAGACACGGUCCAGACUCCUACGGGAGGCGGCAGUGGGGAAUAUUGGACAAUGGGCGCAAGCCUGAUCCAGCCAUACCGCGUGGGUGAAGAAGGCCUUCGGGUUGUAAAGCCCUUUUGUUGGGAAAGAAAAGCAGCAGGUUAAUACCCCGCUGUUCUGACGGUACCCAAAGAAUAAGCACCGGCUAACUUCGUG
Molecule: ribosomal RNA, 492 nt
Filed under: uncultured bacterium
Lineage: Bacteria
Description: partial 16S ribosomal RNA
Rfam family: Bacterial small subunit ribosomal RNA
Source: RNAcentral